RNAcentral lists this ribosomal RNA (253 nucleotides) under uncultured bacterium. Its description in RNAcentral is "partial 16S ribosomal RNA". It matches the Rfam family "Bacterial small subunit ribosomal RNA", at positions 524 to 776 of the family's 1533-position model. The record is from RNAcentral.
UACAGGGGGUGCAAACGUUGCUCGGAAUCAUUGGGCGUAAAGCGCACGUAGGCGGUUCGUUAUGUCGGAUGUGAAAGCCCUUGGCUUAACCGAGGAAGUGCAUCCGAAACUGGCGAGCUAGAGUACUAAAGAGGAUCGCGGAAUUCCCGGUGUAGAGGUGAAAUUCGUAGAUAUCGGGAGGAACACCGGUGGCGAAGGCGGCGAUCUGGGUAGAUACUGACGCUGAGGUGCGAAAGCUAGGGUAGCGAACGGG